RNAcentral lists this ribosomal RNA (641 nucleotides) under Tetracentron sinense. Its description in RNAcentral is "eukaryotic LSU rRNA". The stretch from base 267 to 422 matches the Rfam family "5.8S ribosomal RNA". Lineage: Eukaryota; Viridiplantae; Streptophyta; Magnoliopsida; Trochodendrales; Trochodendraceae. The record is from RNAcentral.
AACCUGCCCAGCAGAACGACCCGAGAACUCUUGUCACCUUUUCUAGGGGAGAAGGGGCGUGGAGCCUCGCAUUUCUCCCCCUCUUCGAGGGUGUGGCCAUGCCUCUGUGCGUCCCUGUGCAUCGACACCUGUGGCGUCUCUGGUGUGUGUCGCAUUCCCGAAUGAACAAUGAACCCCGGCGCGAUUUGCGCCAAGGAACUUACAACGGAAAGAGCGUUGCUCUCGCUAUCGUGUGAGGGCAAAGCUUCUAUCUCCGAUCUCUUAACGACUCUCGGCAACGGAUAUCUCGGCUCUCGCAUCGAUGAAGAACGUAGCGAAAUGCGAUACUUGGUGUGAAUUGCAGAAUCCCGUGAAUCAUCGAGUCUUUGAACGCAAGUUGCGCCCUAGGCCAUUAGGCUGAGGGCACGCCUGCCUGGGCGUCACGCAUUGCGUCGCCCCCCACCGAUGUGUUGGGGAGCGGAAAUUGGCCCCCCGUGCCCCCUGUGUGCGGUCGGCCUAAAAUUGAGCCCUUGGCGAAGAGCGUCAAGACAAACGGUGGUUGAUGAACCCCUUUUUCCUGAGAUUUGGAUGUCUUGCACGCUGUCGUCCUCGCGGCCCAUGUGACCCCGAUGUGUUGCUGAGAUGACACCACCAUUGCGACC